This is a long non-coding RNA of Athalia rosae (coleseed sawfly), 1058 nucleotides long. RefSeq lists it as uncharacterized. NCBI's taxonomy places the organism in Eukaryota, Metazoa, Arthropoda, Insecta, Hymenoptera, Athaliidae. The transcript is spliced from 3 exons. The record is from RefSeq and is a predicted model, not a curated record.
CAGUGUGUAAACUUCUACCAAACUUAGAGAAGUAAAAAAAAAGUUAAGUGGAAAAAGCAUAAUUUACUGGGCAAAAAAUGUAUGAAAAAUUAAUUCCAAAGUCCACACAAAGUGCCAAGUGGUAUACACAACAUAGCACGUAGUAUCAAAUGAAAACUGUGACAAAUACUAUAGUAAUACCCACAUUGAGAGGAGGAGUUGGUUGACAGCUAGUAGCUCCAGAUGAGAUUCGAUGUCUUUGAACAAGUUCAUCAGCUGGUGGAUCUGUCCAAAAAUGGUCUUGGGUUUUCGUUUUGGAAUAAUCUAGAGCACAUGGUCCGACCAGUAAAGAGCUAAGGAUGGAUCCACAGUCUGGAUCAGCAACUAACGAAUCCUUCUCGUAGUAUCUGCUGCUAUUUUCUACCAAAUAUGCAAUAAUUCCUGCUAGCUGUUUUUCUAAAACAAAGGAGGUGGUAAUGGUUUACUGGUGCUGUCUCCACUGCUGGAAGAUUUCCUGUUGGAUGGUUCAACAUUCUCCAAUUCCUGCACCAUUCUUGAAAUUUGAUGGGCAGGUGGAAAGCUUUUGGCUACUUUGUGCAAUAGCGCAGUUGUAGAGCUAGUUUUAAACAAUCCUAGCGCUCGCCUUCGUAGCCCCUGGGACAAGCAUGCCUCCACUGCAGCUAAAAUUAUUGGAAUGGAUGUGCAUUAAUGGCGUUGAAGAAAAAAAGUGCACAAUGUUUCAAUCUUACAAUAAGUGAAUCCUGCUAUAAUUUGCGUGUUGUACAAUGAAGAUAAAUAAUUUUUGGAGAAAGUAUAGUAUUGAAAAUAGAAAUCAUUUCAAGAAAUCAUGUACACAAUGAAAUAUAAGCACGUAAAUUUUCACCAGAAAUGCACCUUGCUGUUAGAAGACCAAAUGACUACAUGGUUAUUAUGUGAUAAGAGCUUGAAUGCAGGGGGGUGGCCUGAUUGCCAAAAAACAUAAACAUGCACACCUUUCAAUUUCUGGUUGUAGGAUACAGUUAUGAGUAAAAAUAUACAAAGCAUAGAUAGGUGUGCAAAUAUACACAUAUGCACUAUGU